CUCCAGACUCCUACGGGAGGCAGCAGUGGGGAAUAUUGCACAAUGGGGGGAACCCUGAUGCAGCGACGCCGCGUGGGUGAAGGAGUACUUCGGUACGUAAAGCCCUAUCAGCAGGAAAGAAAAUGACGGUACCUGACUAAGAAGCCCCGGCUAACUACGUGCCAGCAGCCGCGGUAAUACGUAGGGGGCAAGCGUUAUCCGGAUUCACUGGGCGUAAAGGGAGCGCAGGCGGCACGGCAAGUCUGGUGUGAAAGCCCGGGGCCCAACCCCGGGACUGCAUUGGAAACUGCCGGGCUGGAGUGCCGGAGGGGUAAGCGGAAUUCCUGGUGUAGCGGUGAAAUGCGCAGAUAUCAGGAAGAACACCGGUGGCGUAGGCGGCUUACUGGACGGCAACUGACGCUGAGGCUCGAAAGCGUGGGGAGCAAACAGGAUUAGAUACCCGAGUACU
Molecule: ribosomal RNA, 448 nt
Filed under: uncultured bacterium
Lineage: Bacteria
Description: partial 16S ribosomal RNA
Rfam family: Bacterial small subunit ribosomal RNA
Source: RNAcentral